RNAcentral lists this ribosomal RNA (1371 nucleotides) under uncultured bacterium. RNAcentral's name for it is "bacterial SSU rRNA". It matches the Rfam family "Bacterial small subunit ribosomal RNA", at positions 28 to 1381 of the family's 1533-position model. The record is from RNAcentral.
GAUGAACGCUGGCGGCGUGCCUAAUACAUGCAAGUCGAGCGAACGGACGAGAAGCUUGCUUCUCUGAUGUUAGCGGCGGACGGGUGAGUAACACGUGGAUAACCUACCUAUAAGACUGGGAUAACUUCGGGAAACCGGAGCUAAUACCGGAUAAUAUUUUGAACCGCAUGGUUCAAAAGUAAAAGACGGUCUUGCUGUCACUUAUAGAUGGAUCCGCGCUGCAUUAGCUAGUUGGUAAGGUAACGGCUUACCAAGGCAACGAUGCAUAGCCGACCUGAGAGGGUGAUCGGCCACACUGGAACUGAGACACGGUCCAGACUCCUACGGGAGGCAGCAGUAGGGAAUCUUCCGCAAUGGGCGAAAGCCUGACGGAGCAACGCCGCGUGAGUGAUGAAGGUCUUCGGAUCGUAAAACUCUGUUAUUAGGGAAGAACAUAUGUGUAAGUAACUGUGCACAUCUUGACGGUACCUAAUCAGAAAGCCACGGCUAACUACGUGCCAGCAGCCGCGGUAAUACGUAGGUGGCAAGCGUUAUCCGGAAUUAUUGGGCGUAAAGCGCGCGUAGCGGUUUUUUAAGUCUGAUGUGAAAGCCCACGGCUCAACCGUGGAGGGUCAUUGGAAACUGGAAAACUUGAGUGCAGAAGAGGAAAGUGGAAUUCCAUGUGUAGCGGUGAAAUGCGCAGAGAUAUGGAGGAACACCAGUGGCGAAGGCGACUUCCUGGUCUGUAACUGACGCUGAUGUGCGAAAGCGUGGGGAUCAAACAGGAUUAGAUACCCUGGUAGUCCACGCCGUAAACGAUGAGUGCUAAGUGUUAGGGGGUUUCCGCCCCUUAGUGCUGCAGCUAACGCAUUAAGCACUCCGCCUGGGGAGUACGACCGCAAGGUUGAAACUCAAAGGAAUUGACGGGGACCCGCACAAGCGGUGGAGCAUGUGGUUUAAUUCGAAGCAACGCGAAGAACCUUACCAAAUCUUGACAUCCUUUGACAACUCUAGAGAUAGAGCCUUCCCCUUCGGGGGACAAAGUGACAGGUGGUGCAUGGUUGUCGUCAGCUCGUGUCGUGAGAUGUUGGGUUAAGUCCCGCAACGAGCGCAACCCUUAAGCUUAGCUGCCAUCAUUAAGUUGGGCACUCUAAGUUGACUGCCGGUGACAAACCGGAGGAAGGUGGGGAUGACGUCAAAUCAUCAUGCCCCUUAUGAUUUGGGCUACACACGUGCUACAAUGGACAAUACAAAGGGCAGCGAAACCGCGAGGUCAAGCAAAUCCCAUAAAGUUGUUCUCAGUUCGGAUUGUAGUCUGCAACUCGACUACAUGAAGCUGGAAUCGCUAGUAAUCGUAGAUCAGCAUGCUACGGUGAAUACGUUCCCGGGUCU